AGGGUUGGGCACGGCGGG
RNAcentral lists this microRNA (18 nucleotides) under Sus scrofa (pig). RNAcentral describes it as "ssc-mir54". Lineage: Eukaryota; Metazoa; Chordata; Mammalia; Artiodactyla; Suidae. The record is from RNAcentral.